UACGUAGGGGGCAAGCGUUGUCCGGAAUCAUUGGGCGUAAAGCGCGUGUAGGCGGCCCGAUAAGUCCGCUGUGAAAGUCCAGGGCUCAACCCUGGGAUGCCGGUGGAUACUGUCGGGCUUGAGUCCGGAAGAGGAGUGUGGAAUUCCUGGUGUAGCGGUGAAAUGCGCAGAUAUCAGGAGGAACACCAAUGGCGAAGGCAGCACUCUGGGACGUGACUGACGCUGAGACGCGAAAGCGUGGGGAGCAAACAGG
This 253-nucleotide ribosomal RNA is filed under the name uncultured bacterium. RNAcentral's name for it is "partial 16S ribosomal RNA". It matches the Rfam family "Bacterial small subunit ribosomal RNA", at positions 524 to 776 of the family's 1533-position model. The record is from RNAcentral.